CUGUGUAUGUGUGUGGUGUCCUACCCAGGAGAGUGGCAAUCACAUAUAAUUAGGUGUGAUUGAAACCUCUAAGAGUGUAGUACACAUGACAUGUACU
Molecule: non-coding RNA, 97 nt
Organism: Pan troglodytes (chimpanzee)
Lineage: Eukaryota; Metazoa; Chordata; Mammalia; Primates; Hominidae
Source: RefSeq, marked provisional